RNAcentral lists this ribosomal RNA (464 nucleotides) under uncultured bacterium. Its description in RNAcentral is "partial 16S ribosomal RNA". It matches the Rfam family "Bacterial small subunit ribosomal RNA", at positions 338 to 795 of the family's 1533-position model. The record is from RNAcentral.
CCUACGGGAGGCUGCAGUGGGGAAUCUUCCGCAAUGGGCGAAAGCCUGACGGAGCAACGCCGCGUGAUCGAAUGAAGGCCUUCGGGUUGUAAAGAUCUGUUGACAGGGACGAAUAAGCAAUGCAAAUAGUUUUGUGUAUGACGGUACCUGUUUAGAAAGCUCCGGCUAACUACGUUCCAGCAGCCGCUGUAAUACGUAGGGAGCAAGCGUUGUCCGGAAUUACUGGGCGUAAAGGGCGCGUAGGUGGGCGCUUAAGUCAGGUGUGAAAACUCCGGGCUCAACCUGGAGACUGCUCUGGAAACUGUGUAACUGGAGUGCAGGAGAGGAAGGCGGAAUUCCUAGUGUAGCGGUGAAAUGCGUAGAUAUUAGGAGGAACACCAGUGGCGAAGGCGGCCUGCUGGACUGUAACUGACGUUGAGGCUCGAAAGCGUGGGGAGCAAACAGGAUUAGAUACCCUUGUAGUC